RNAcentral lists this long non-coding RNA (352 nucleotides) under Mustela putorius furo (domestic ferret). RNAcentral describes it as "lncRNA (ENSMPUG00000029006.1)". The record is from RNAcentral. Lineage: Eukaryota; Metazoa; Chordata; Mammalia; Carnivora; Mustelidae.
AGCGCACCAGGGAAAGCCAUUCGGAAAGAGGAAUUAAGAGGCUGGUUUGACACGGGUCUUGGGUCAAGGUCAGGGAGGAGCCCAAGCACUGUCUCAAGGACAUGAAGAGCAGUCAUGGCAGGACGGAGUCAAAGAUCACCGACUCCGUCACCAGGUGCUUACGGAGCACGUCCUACAGACCAGACACGAGGAACACGACAGAACAGGGAGGCUCCACACCCAGCAUGAAGCCCAAUGUGGAGCCCCACAGGCUCACACCAAGAUCAAGAGUUGGACACCCAACCGACUGAGCCAUCCAGGUAACCCCAUUUGUUAUUUUUAAGUUUAACAAUAAUAAUCAUGGUUAUGAUAU